AUGAAAUUCUAUUAUACCAAAGGGACUCGGUAAAGGCGAAGGCAGCCCUCUAUGUAAAAACUGACGUUGAAGGACGAAGGCACAGAGCACAAACAGGAUUAGAUACCCAAGUAGUCUUUGCAGUAAAUGAUGAAUGUCAUAGGUUAGAUUAAGCUUUAAUUAAUUAGUUUAUCAGUAAUGAACUAACUAUUAAACAAUAUUUAGUCUAUAAAUGAAAGUGUAAGCAUUCCACCUCAAGAGUAAUGUGGCAACGCAGGAACUGAAAUCACUAGACCGUUUCUGACACCAGUAGUGAAGUAUGUUGUUUAAUUCGAUGAUCCACGAAAAACCUUACCACAAUUUGAAUAUUUUACAGGAGUUGCACGGCUGUUUUCAGUUAAUGUUGUGAAACUGUGGUUUCCAUGAAAUUAACGCAAUCCCUGGCUUUAUUUUUUUUUUAUUACGAUAAAGCAUUUGAUCCAGGAUUUGGAAAGAAAAAGGGGACAAAGACAAGUCAUCAUGGCCUUGAUAUUGUGGGCUAUAGACGUGCCACAUAUUCCUACACAAAGAGAUGCAAAAAUGUGAAUUUAAGCUAAUCUCUAAAAAUAGGAUAUAAAUUUUAAGGAUUAUAGUCUGAAACUCGACKAUAUGAAUAAGUAAUUACUAGUAAUCGUGAAUCACCAUGUCACGGUGAAUUUACCUUGGAUUGGUACUAACCACUCGUCACAUGCUGAAAAGAGCAUGCGCAAUAAGUUUGCUUUCUUGAUGAGCAGUAAAAAUAAUAAGCAGGUUCUAUAUUCUAUUAUUAAG
Molecule: ribosomal RNA, 789 nt
Filed under: Metarhizium brunneum
Lineage: Eukaryota; Fungi; Ascomycota; Sordariomycetes; Hypocreales; Clavicipitaceae
Description: SSU rRNA
Source: RNAcentral